This 234-nucleotide ribosomal RNA is filed under the name uncultured bacterium. Its description in RNAcentral is "partial 16S ribosomal RNA". It matches the Rfam family "Bacterial small subunit ribosomal RNA", at positions 88 to 339 of the family's 1533-position model. The record is from RNAcentral.
CGGCCUAGUGGCGAACGGCUGAGUAACACGUUGGUAGCUGCCCCGCACUCAGGGAUAACAUCUAGAAAUAGAUGCUAAUACCGGAUGGCCCCGAAAGGGUAAAGAUUUAUCGGUGCGGGAGGCGCCUGCGGCCUAUCAGCUUGUUGGUGAGGUAACGGCUCACCAAGGCUAUGACGGGUAACUGGUCUGAGAGGACGACCAGUCAGAAUGGGACUGAGACACGGCCCAUACUCC